This 274-nucleotide ribosomal RNA is filed under the name uncultured bacterium. RNAcentral describes it as "partial 16S ribosomal RNA". It matches the Rfam family "Bacterial small subunit ribosomal RNA", at positions 523 to 796 of the family's 1533-position model. The record is from RNAcentral.
AUACGGAGGGGGCUAGCGUUGUUCGGAAUUACUGGGCGUAAAGCGCGCGUAGGCGGCUCGUCUAGUUGGGCGUGAAAGCCCGGGGCUCAACCCCGGAAUUGCGUUCAAUACUGGCGAGCUAGAGACCGGAAGAGGAGAGUGGAAUUCCCAGUGUAGAGGUGAAAUUCGUAGAUAUUGGGAAGAACACCAGUGGCGAAGGCGGCUCUCUGGUCCGGUACUGACGCUGAGGUGCGAAAGCGUGGGGAGCAAACAGGAUUAGAUACCCGGGUAGUCC